AACGAACGCUGGCGGCAUGCCUAACACAUGCAAGUCGAACGAGACCUUCGGGUCUAGUGGCGCACGGGUGCGUAACGCGUGGGAACCUGCUCUUAGGUUCGGAAUAACUCCCCGAAAGGGGUGCUAAUACCGGAUAAUGUCUUCGGUCCCAAGAUUUAUCUCCUUUGGAUGGGCCCGCUUUGUAUUAGCUAGCUGGUAGGGUAAAAGCCUACCAAGGCGACGAUCCAUAGCUGGUCUGAGAGGAUGAUCAGCCACACUGGGACUGAGACACGGCCCAGACUCCUACGGAAGGCAGCAGUGGGGAAUAUUGGACAAUGGGCGAAAGACUGAUCCAGCAAUGCCGCGAGAGUGAUGAAGGCGUUAGGGUUGGAAAGCUCUUUUACACGGGAUGAUAAUGACAGUACCGGGAGAAUAAGCUCCGGCUAACUCCGUG
RNAcentral lists this ribosomal RNA (433 nucleotides) under uncultured bacterium. RNAcentral describes it as "partial 16S ribosomal RNA". It matches the Rfam family "Bacterial small subunit ribosomal RNA", at positions 29 to 507 of the family's 1533-position model. The record is from RNAcentral.